UUUUUCCAUUAGACUAAACGUAUCUUUAUAUGCUCUUAAAGUUUUACAUAUAUUUUUAUUUGGUUAUUUAGAAUUUUUAAUUUGUGCAUUCAUAAAACUUAAUAUAGUCUAAUUUUACCUGUGUAAAAUAUCUACUCAUUCCACUAGUCAAUCGAUAGUAUAUACUAGGUUAGCAUGAACUAUUUACUAAUCCUUAAAAAAUAUUUUGCUUUAUAUAUAUAGUAUUUGCUUAAUAUAGAAAACAGAAAUAAAAACAAGUAGAACACAACUAGCAACCCUUAAAAUUUAAGAUAGGAGACUUUUAGAUACUAAGUAACAUUCUGUUAAGUGAAUUUAUCAUGAUUUACUGAGCCAUUCUUUUGUUGCUAGGCAUUUAAGGUUGUGUUUAGUUUUUUUUUUUUUCCUUUUCUUUUCGCUGUUUGGGGAUCCAACCCAAGUCCUUGUGCGUGAUAAGCAAGUGUUGAUCACUGAGCUACAUCCCAGUUUUGUUUACUUCUCUGAUAAAUAAUACUGUGCUGGGGAAUAAACCCAGGAUCUCAAACGUGCCAGGAAAUGGUCUGUGUUGCUUCUACUUCCUAGAAGAUGGAAAGGAGUGCCCCUUCUCUCAUAAACCACUAUAGAAGAGCAGUGAAGUAUACUGGCAGUGGAGUUGGGAGUGGUUGUGCAUUUUAUUUUCACCAUUCCUUUUUCUGUUGUAUACCCAGUCACCUCAACUGUGAAAGAAUUAUCUCAGAGAGUAAUAGUAAAUGAAUCAAUCAGUGUAAAAUGCUUAGCGAAGUGCUAGAUAUAUAUUAACAUGGUCAGUAAAUAUUAACUGUUUUUAUACUGUUUUUUAAGAAUCUUAUUGUGGGAUUUCUUCUGUCUCCUAUAUCUUCAACUUUUCCUACUUCAUUAACCUCUUCCCAUAAAUGAUUAAACUUAUGUAGAUCUUUCCUAUUUCAGAUUAACCAGCUAACCAACCAGUAACAAGCUAAAAUCCCUUUCCUGUAUACCACAUCUUUAGCUCUUGUCCUAUCUCACUAUUUCACAGCCAUAUUUCUUAAUAUCUACAUUUGCUAUAUCCCUUGCUGCCUUUCUUAUUUACUUAUCCCACUGUCUUCUGGUUUUGUUUCUACAGUUCUAUUAAAGUGCCUCUGAUGAAGUAAGCAAUUCUCUCUUUGAAUUCAUUUUUAUUCCUGUUUCUCCUUAGUGCUUUCAUUUCAUUGUCUGUAAAAAGAUCAAAAUGGUCUUUUAAAAAUGCAGUUCUGAUCUUACUUCUAAAAACUAGUGAAUUUCUAUUAUUGUUCAUAUAAAGUCUCAAAUACUUAAUAUGGUCCACUGUGUCCUGCCUAAUUGCCAUUCUUAUCUCAUACACAUUUUCUUUUCACUCUAAGCCCUUGAGCUGGGUAAAUUGUUUUAAUUUUCAUACAAGCUUUACUGAGAACAUUUGUGUUUUGUCCCGUUUUUUGUUUUUUGUUUUUGUCUUUUUUCCAUUUUCUACCUGUUUCCUUUGGAGAGUGCUUAGCCUUCUUUAACACAUUAGCUUUAGGGCCAUGUUCUAAGUAAAACCUUUCCUGAUUUGAAGAGGUGUAGCAUUUGAACUUCUCCUUCAAAUGUUGUAAUCACAGUUGUAAUUAAAUAUGAAUUGAGUUAUUCUCUGGAAUGUAAGCUCCAUAAAAUCGAGAAUGCUAUCUUGUUUAUUGCUGAUUCUAGGUCUUACUAGCACAAUUGUUUUGCUUGAAGGUGUUCAAUAAGUAUUUGUUGCAUGAAGUAUUAUUAAUUCAUAGAGGUGUUAUGUUACUCAUCUCUUUAUUAUAGCUUAGCCUUUCCCCCCCCCUUAUUCUGCAUGUUUGAAGUUUCAGUGCAUUCUGUAGUAGAAGUUCUCCUUAGAAUUUAUUCCCCUCUUUUCCUAGAUGAUUUGGGAAUAUAAUCUUAAGUACAUGUUGUGAACAGAUGAUUUGUUUUUUAAGAUUUCCUGUUUUAUCUUGAAAAUACAUGAGAAUUUUGCUUGCUGUUUCUUAAUAUUCUUGUGUUUGUUAAAUAAACAAGCAAAAAGUGCCUAUAACUGCUUACUAGGGAAUAAAAUUUCUGAUUAAA
This is a non-coding RNA of Ictidomys tridecemlineatus (thirteen-lined ground squirrel), 2076 nucleotides long. NCBI's taxonomy places the organism in Eukaryota, Metazoa, Chordata, Mammalia, Rodentia, Sciuridae. The record is from RefSeq and is a predicted model, not a curated record.